GUUUGUUUUUUGAUUGAGCACAUGCACAAUUAUUUUAUUUAUGUCGCUUACUUUUCCUAUUAAGCUGUGCCAGUUACUUCGAAUAUUUUACGGAUCACAUAAAGGAUACGCUAACAGUAUUUCGAUUAUGAUAAAGUAUAUUUAAAAUUACGUACAUUUUUGUUUUGGAUAGCGUAAAAUUCUCCGUUUAUAUAUAAAAAGCGGAAAGUAUAAUACUCUGCUAUACAAAAACUAGAGACACGUGCCUCAGCCACGAUCCAACAUGUAUAAGUUCCUGAUAGUAGUCAUGGUUAUCACCUUGGUGUCAGCUGUGCUACCCUGCCCUCCAAAUAAUCAACCGCAGCUAACAUUGAAAGGAGUGACCUGCAUAGAGUGUGACGCAGCCAAGCAAAACUGCAGGGAUUAUUAUACAAGUUCUCCCUCCUAUAACAUAUUAUACUUACACUAGUCAACUUUUAUAUAAAUGUAGUUAUUGCUUAUUCACUUUUGUUAACCUAAAAUUGUUUUGGAGCAAUUCUAAUAUAUAAACAAAAAUAAUGAUUUAAAUUUCAAGUACAUGUAAUAAUAAUACAUACAAAGUGGAUUUUACUUCAUUCAUUCGUUUUGAUCCUGUCUAAAUAACUUCAAAAAGUACAAUAAAGUUACUAAAUUUAAGUUUUCGUUUUAAUAUCACAAAAUAAUCAAAUAAGGAAC
Molecule: unclassified non-coding RNA, 693 nt
Filed under: Melitaea cinxia (Glanville fritillary)
Lineage: Eukaryota; Metazoa; Arthropoda; Insecta; Lepidoptera; Nymphalidae
Description: misc RNA ENSMCXG00005012356.1
Source: RNAcentral